UUUUAUUCCCAAGUACUGCGGAACACGAGAAAUUCUGUGGGAAUUUGCGAGGACCAUCUCGUAAGGCUAAAUACGACUUGACAACCGAUAGCGUACCAGUACCGUGAGGGAAAGGUGAAAAGUACCCCUGUUAGGGGAGUGAAAUAGUACCUGAAACCGUUUGCUUACAAGCAGUGGGAGCUUUAAUUUAUUAGAGUGACCGCGUGCCUUUUGCAUAAUGAGUCAGCGAGUUACUUAAUGCAGCCAGGUUAAGCCGAGAGGUGUAGCCGUAGCGAAAGCGAGUCUUAAUAGGGCGACCAGUUGCAUUGAGUAGACCCGAAACCAGGUGAUCUAUCCAUGUCCAGGGUGAAGCGAGAGUAAAAUCUCGUGGAGGCCCGAACCGUCACAGGUUAAAAACUGUUCGGAUGAGGUGUGGAUAGGGGUGAAAGGCCAAACAAACCUGGAGAUAGCUGGUUCUCUUCGAAAUAUAUUUAGGUAUAGCCUUAUAAGUUUCUUGCCGGAGGUAGAGCACUGGAUGGGCUAGGGGUCUCACCAGAUUACCAAACCUAACCAAACUCCGAAUACCGGUAAGUUAGAUUAUAGGAGUCAGCCCGCGGGAGCUAAGUUCCGCGGACGAGAGGGAAACAACCCAGACCGCCAGCUAAGGUCCCCAAAUCUAUGCUAAGUGGGGAAGGAUGUGGGAAUGCCCAGACAACCAGGAGGUUGGCUUAGAAGCAGCCAUCCUUUAAAGAAAGCGUAAUAGCUCACUGGUCGAGUGGAUCUGCGCCGAAAAUGUAUCGGGGCUAAAGUAUAGUACCGAAGCUGCGGAAUAGACUUAAUUUAUUAAGUCGAUUGGUAGAAGAGCGUUGUGCCGUCGCAGAAUCGUGGUCGUGAGACCAUGUGGAGAUUGCACAAGUGACCAUGCUGACAUGAGUAGCGAUAAAGCGGGUGAGAGGCCCGCUCGCCGUAAGCCCAAGGUUUCCUGAGUAAAGCUAAUCUGCUCAGGGUUAGUCGAUCCCUAAGGCGAGGCCGAAAGGCGUAGUCGAUGGAAAACAGAUUAAUAUUUCUGUACCACCCAGUUGUUGUUUGAGAGAAGGGGGGACGCAGGAGGGCAAGUCAUCCGUCUGUUGGAAUAGGCGGUUUAAGCUCGUAGGCUGAAGAUC
This 1142-nucleotide ribosomal RNA is filed under the name Desulfobacula phenolica. RNAcentral's name for it is "bacterial LSU rRNA". It matches the Rfam family "Bacterial large subunit ribosomal RNA", at positions 400 to 1533 of the family's 2925-position model. Lineage: Bacteria; Pseudomonadati; Thermodesulfobacteriota; Desulfobacteria; Desulfobacterales; Desulfobacteraceae. The record is from RNAcentral.